GCCUGGCCGUAAAUCUUGAUGCUUUAUAUUAACCUGAGCAUCCGCCCGAGAACUACGAGCGCAAACGCUUAAAACUCUAAGGACUUGGCGGUGCCUCAAAUCCACCUAGAGGAGCCUGUUCUGUAAUCGAUGAUCCACGUUACACCCAACCAUUCCUUGCAAAACAGCCUAUAUACCGCCGUCGCCAGCUCACCCUGCCUGAAGGUCCAACAGUGAACGCAAUAGUUUUUACCGCUAAAAAGACAGGUCAAGGUAUAGCCUAUGGGAUGGAAGCAAUGGGCUACAUUUUCUAGCAUAGAAAACACGGCAAAGGGGCGUGAAACCGCCUCUGGAAGGAGGAUUUAGCAGUAAAGUGGGAUAAUAGAGCCCUCUUUAAGCCGGCCCUGAGGCACGU
RNAcentral lists this ribosomal RNA (394 nucleotides) under Ptilotula fusca (Fuscous honeyeater). RNAcentral's name for it is "partial 12S ribosomal RNA". It matches the Rfam family "Bacterial small subunit ribosomal RNA", at positions 794 to 1384 of the family's 1533-position model. Lineage: Eukaryota; Metazoa; Chordata; Aves; Passeriformes; Meliphagidae. The record is from RNAcentral.